RNAcentral lists this ribosomal RNA (1436 nucleotides) under uncultured bacterium. RNAcentral describes it as "bacterial SSU rRNA". It matches the Rfam family "Bacterial small subunit ribosomal RNA". The record is from RNAcentral.
UUAGAGUUUGAUCCUGGCUCAGGAUGAACGCCGGCGGUGUGCCUAAUACAUGCAAGUCGUACGCACUGGCCCAACUGAUUGAUGGUGCUUGCACCUGAUUGACGUUGGAUCACCAGUGAGUGGCGGACGGGUGAGUAACACGUAGGUAACCUGCCCCGGAGCGGGGGAUAACAUUUGGAAACAGAUGCUAAUACCGCAUAACAACAAAAGCCACAUGGCUUUUGUUUGAAAGAUGGCUUUGGCUAUCACUCUGGGAUGGACCUGCGGUGCAUUAGCUAGUUGGUAAGGUAACGGCUUACCAAGGCGAUGAUGCAUAGCCGAGUUGAGAGACUGAUCGGCCACAAUGGAACUGAGACACGGUCCAUACUCCUACGGGAGGCAGCAGUAGGGAAUCUUCCACAAUGGGCGCAAGCCUGAUGGAGCAACACCGCGUGAGUGAAGAAGGGUUUCGGCUCGUAAAACUCUGUUGUUGGAGAAGAACGUGCGUGAGAGUAACUGUUCACGCAGUGACGGUAUCCAACCAGAAAGUCACGGCUAACUACGUGCCAGCAGCCGCGGUAAUACGUAGGUGGCAAGCGUUAUCCGGAUUUAUUGGGCGUAAAGCGAGCGCAGGCGGUUGCUUAGGUCUGAUGUGAAAGCCUUCGGCUUAACCGAAGAAGUGCAUCGGAAACCGGGCGACUUGAGUGCAGAAGAGGACAGUGGAACUCCAUGUGUAGCGGUGGAAUGCGUAGAUAUAUGGAAGAACACCAGUGGCGAAGGCGGCUGUCUGGUCUGCAACUGACGCUGAGGCUCGAAAGCAUGGGUAGCGAACAGGAUUAGAUACCCUGGUAGUCCAUGCCGUAAACGAUGAGUGCUAGGUGUUGGAGGGUUUCCGCCCUUCAGUGCCGGAGCUAACGCAUUAAGCACUCCGCCUGGGGAGUACGACCGCAAGGUUGAAACUCAAAGGAAUUGACGGGGGCCCGCACAAGCGGUGGAGCAUGUGGUUUAAUUCGAAGCUACGCGAAGAACCUUACCAGGUCUUGACAUCUUGCGCUAACCUUAGAGAUAAGGCGUUCCCUUCGGGGACGCAAUGACAGGUGGUGCAUGGUCGUCGUCAGCUCGUGUCGUGAGAUGUUGGGUUAAGUCCCGCAACGAGCGCAACCCUUGUUACUAGUUGCCAGCAUUAAGUUGGGCACUCUAGUGAGACUGCCGGUGACAAACCGGAGGAAGGUGGGGACGACGUCAGAUCAUCAUGCCCCUUAUGACCUGGGCUACACACGUGCUACAAUGGACGGUACAACGAGUCGCAAGCUCGCGAGAGUAAGCUAAUCUCUUAAAGCCGUUCUCAGUUCGGACUGUAGGCUGCAACUCGCCUACACGAAGUCGGAAUCGCUAGUAAUCGCGGAUCAGCAUGCCGCGGUGAAUACGUUCCCGGGCCUUGUACACAACGCCCGUCA